Molecule: transfer RNA, 73 nt
Filed under: Camelus bactrianus (Bactrian camel)
Lineage: Eukaryota; Metazoa; Chordata; Mammalia; Artiodactyla; Camelidae
Also listed under: 2 other names
Rfam family: tRNA
About the family: Transfer RNA (tRNA) molecules are approximately 80 nucleotides in length.
Source: Rfam by way of RNAcentral
GAGGGGAUAGCUCAAGUGGUAGAGGGUGUGUUUAGCUUUCACAAGGUCCUGGGUUCAAUCCCCAGUACCUCCU